RNAcentral lists this ribosomal RNA (497 nucleotides) under uncultured bacterium. RNAcentral's name for it is "partial 16S ribosomal RNA". It matches the Rfam family "Bacterial small subunit ribosomal RNA", at positions 28 to 507 of the family's 1533-position model. The record is from RNAcentral.
GAUGAACGCUGGCGGCGUGCCUAAUACAUGCAAGUCGAGCGAACAGACGAGGAGCUUGCUCCUUUGACGUUAGCGGCGGACGGGUGAGUAACACGUGGGUAACCUACCUAUAAGACUGGGAUAACUUCGGGAAACCGGAGCUAAUACCGGAUAAUAUUUCGAAACGCAUGGAUCGAUAGUGAAAGAUGGCUUUGCUAUCACUUAUAGAUGGACCUGCGCCGUAUUAGCUAGUUGGUAAGGUAACGGCUUACCAAGGCAAGGAUACGUAGCCGACCUGAGAGGGUGAUCGGCCACACUGGAACUGAGACACGGUCCAGACUCCUACGGGAGGCAGCAGUAGGGAAUCUUCCGCAAUGGGCGCAAGCCUGACCCAGCAACGCCGCGUGAGUGAUGAAGGUCUUCGGAUCGUAAACCUCUUUUAUUAGGGAAGAACAAACGUGUAAGUAACUGUGCACGUCUUGACGGUACCUAAUCAGAAAGCCACGGCUAACUACGUG